CAGCAGCCGCGGGAAUACGUAGGUGGCAAGCGUUGUCCGGAAUUAUUGGGCGUAAAGGGCUCGCAGGCGGUUUCUUAAGUCUGAUGUGAAAGCCCCCGGCUCAACCGGGGAGGGUCAUUGGAAACUGGGAAACUUGAGUGCAGAAGAGGAGAGUGGAAUUCCACGUGUAGCGGUGAAAUGCGUAGAGAUGUGGAGGAACACCAGUGGCGAAGGCGACUCUCUGGUCUGUAACUGACGCUGAGGAGCGAAAGCGUGGGGAGCGAACAGGAUUAGAUACCCCGGUAGUCCUGUCUCUUAUACA
This 301-nucleotide ribosomal RNA is filed under the name uncultured bacterium. RNAcentral's name for it is "partial 16S ribosomal RNA". It matches the Rfam family "Bacterial small subunit ribosomal RNA", at positions 509 to 809 of the family's 1533-position model. The record is from RNAcentral.